This is a long non-coding RNA of Ictalurus punctatus (channel catfish), 1887 nucleotides long. RefSeq lists it as uncharacterized. The record is from RefSeq and is a predicted model, not a curated record. The transcript is spliced from 4 exons. NCBI's taxonomy places the organism in Eukaryota, Metazoa, Chordata, Actinopteri, Siluriformes, Ictaluridae.
CACAAAAAUUCCUUGGUCCUGAGUUAAGAUCGGUGGUCUUAGAACGCAUAACGUGAUGCUCACCAUGUUAUUGCACAAUACGUUAUAAAGUUCAGCAUAAGCCAAGAUCUUACUGGGAUCAUCUAAAGUGUGACAAUCUGCUAAGACCACUGAAAUAACAGUCUAAAACCAACUUAAGAUUUAACUGCCAAUAUUUGCCACAAAGAUCAAGCAGUUGUGUCCAGAAAAGGUCCAGAGUCCUUUUUAAAAAUCAUACAAACUUGCCAGUAAAAUAUUCUAAAACAAUGUCAUUUUUGUCAUCAUCUCUGUGCGUCAUGCACCUAAACAUUACUCUCCACAGGCUUAUGACCUCCUCAAUAAGGUCAUGUUUGGGCCUGUAUUUGACCUCCGAGUCUGAUGUUGUGUGAGGCAGAGAGAAGGCAGAUGUGAUGACUGGACAAAGCCUGCCCUUGUACUCUCAAUCUGGCAUGUAGUGACAUCAGCAGUGGCUGGCACAUGCUAGCCAAACAGUGGUCAGCACCCACUCAGUGCAGCUAUGAGCUUAAAAAUAUAGCAAUGACAAAUGGAGAUAAGUAAACACAAAGACAGAUCCUAAUGCUGGCGCUGCUUCGUUCAAGGACUACAAUGCCCGGGACACUUGAGAACUAAGACGUCUAAAUUCAAAGACCCCUCUAAAUAACUCUACAAGACGGGGACAGGAAGUGUUAUUUGUAUCUUGGGCUCAUCCGUUCUUCUGCUAGUUUCAAUAACCUGUGCAACCCAAGCUUUAAGCAGAAGCAGCACAAAAGUUUGUCUCCCCAAGAAGAAUCUGUCUGGCUAUUUUUGUGUUUCUAAGCUGGUAUGGAAAAUACUACAUCUCUCAACAACACCUUAAUCACUAAUGACUUCAAGGACCAAACAAAAGCUCCAGAUGGUUCAAAUGGUUGUUUCAUUGAUCCUCAGCUAGCAUUCAUAGUAGUUGCUGCAUCUGGGAGUCUAAUGCUUGUCCUACUAAUAUCUGUCUUGGUGCUGGCAUGUAAGGUCAUCACUUUAAAGCGACAGUGCCAGGACCGACGCCCAACCCGCAGUAACAUGGAUCUGAGAGGAUCAGGUCACUGGAGCACUGAAAGAGAAGAGGAAGGCAUUGUAGGACCAUGCGAGACCAGCGUCCUGCUAGAGGAAGUUAAGAGAGAUGGAGAAGAGCAGGAAGAAGAAGAGGAGGCUAUAUUGCAUCAAAGCAACUCGGACAACAUCGAUGAGGAAAAUGUCUUGGCCACCAUGCAGGGCUCCACCUCCAGAGAUUCCUGCAUAGAUCCUGCUAAGGAACUGGAGAACAUGCCUUUGGUGGUGUGAGCUUGCAUGUGUCUUUCACCUUCAGUGAUAAAUGCUAACCUUAAAGCAGUAUCUUAAAAGAUGCUAUCUGUGAUUUAACCAUGUAGAUUUUUUGCUGUUAAACUGUUUUUUUCCUACCUGCUCCCUUUUCUCUCUUGCAUUAUUUACAUUUAAUUUCAAAGUCUGGAACCUGGCAUUUAAUUUUUUUCUGUUAGAUAAGACGUCUGUAAUGGAUGAUAAUUAAUAUAACAUGAUAAUAAAAUUAAAAUGAUAUUCAUCUUAUAUUUAAAUACCACAAACACCUUUCUAUGUGAUAUCCAUGGAUUCAACUAAGCUAAUAAUACUGCUUAUCCGAGAUGAGCAGGUAAUAUAGUAGCUUGUUUUGUAAAAAUGGAAAUUCUGGUUUUAGAAACUGCUGUUUAUACAAAGACAGAAAUGUAUUAGUCACCCAAAUUUUGCUAUAUCUAGUCUUUCUCUCGACCAUCAUAGGUAGCAGAUAGGUUUUUAAAAUAUUUUUCACUUCCUUUGUAAUCAAGCAUGGCAAAAUAAAUUGCUAAUUAAAAAUAAUUUGAUUUG